This 299-nucleotide ribosomal RNA is filed under the name oxamyl-degrading bacterium 1/1. Its description in RNAcentral is "partial 16S ribosomal RNA". It matches the Rfam family "Bacterial small subunit ribosomal RNA", at positions 123 to 437 of the family's 1533-position model. The record is from RNAcentral. Lineage: Bacteria; Pseudomonadati; Pseudomonadota; Alphaproteobacteria; Hyphomicrobiales; Phyllobacteriaceae.
AAUCUACCCAGCUCUACGGAAUAACUCAGGGAAACUUGUGCUAAUACCGUAUACGUCCGAUAGGAGAAAGAUUUAUCGGAGUUGGAUGAGCCCGCGUUGGAUUAGCUAGUUGGUGGGGUAAAGGCCUACCAAGGCGACGAUCCAUAGCUGGUCUGAGAGGAUGAUCAGCCACACUGGGACUGAGACACGGCCCAGACUCCUACGGGAGGCAGCAGUGGGGAAUAUUGGACAAUGGGCGCAAGCCUGAUCCAGCCAUGCCGCGUGAGUGAUGAAGGCCCUAGGGUGUGUAAAGCUCUUUC